RNAcentral lists this unclassified non-coding RNA (353 nucleotides) under uncultured fungus. RNAcentral's name for it is "partial contains ITS1, 5.8S rRNA and ITS2". Lineage: Eukaryota; Fungi. The record is from RNAcentral.
AACGCAAAUUGCGCUUCUGGGUAACCCUGGAAGCACUCUUCGUUGAGUAUCGGUUCUAUCUACUAUCAGCGGCGUGCUUGCAUGUGCGGCUGGAAAGUGAGUCUCGCGCUUUAUUGUGCGUUUCUUUAAAGAUAUAUUAGUGCCUGGAUCCAAUCCAAUUUAAGGAGCUCUCCUUUAAGGAGCAGUUCACUUGGCGCAUCAUGGUGGAUAAGAUCACUUGUAAAAGUGAACUCCAAAGCCUUGCUGUGUUAAUGCGAACUGUUCUGGCGAGUUCUGGGAUGGGAAUCAGUUUUAUCUAAACGAACCUUCUAGAAAUAGAUCUCAACUGAAGUGAGAGUACCCGCUGAAUUUAA